CACUGUCACAAGAACAGCAUGGGAAAGACCCACCUCUCAUGAUUCAGUUACCUCUCACCAGGUCCUUCUCACAAUACUUGGGAAUUAAAAAUGAGAUUUGGGUGGAGACACAGCCA
This is a long non-coding RNA of Sapajus apella (tufted capuchin), 116 nucleotides long. RefSeq lists it as uncharacterized. Lineage: Eukaryota; Metazoa; Chordata; Mammalia; Primates; Cebidae. The transcript is spliced from 3 exons. The record is from RefSeq and is a predicted model, not a curated record.